Molecule: ribosomal RNA, 301 nt
Filed under: uncultured bacterium
Lineage: Bacteria
Description: partial 16S ribosomal RNA
Rfam family: Bacterial small subunit ribosomal RNA
Source: RNAcentral
CAGCCGCCGCGGUAAUACGUAGGUCCCGAGCGUUGUCCGGAUUUAUUGGGCGUAAAGCGAGCGCAGGCGGUUAGAUAAGUCUGAAGUUAAAGGCUGUGGCUUAACCAUAGUACGCUUUGGAAACUGUUUAACUUGAGUGCAAGAGGGGAGAGUGGAAUUCCAUGUGUAGCGGUGAAAUGCGUAGAUAUAUGGAGGAACACCGGUGGCGAAAGCGGCUCUCUGGCUUGUAACUGACGCUGAGGCUCGAAAGCGUGGGGCGCAAACAGGAUUAGAUACCCGUGUAGUCCCUGUCUCUUAUACA